This 497-nucleotide ribosomal RNA is filed under the name uncultured bacterium. RNAcentral's name for it is "partial 16S ribosomal RNA". It matches the Rfam family "Bacterial small subunit ribosomal RNA", at positions 28 to 507 of the family's 1533-position model. The record is from RNAcentral.
GAUGAGCGCUGGCGGCGUGCCUAAUACAUGCAAGUCGAGCGAACGGACGAGAAGCUUGCUUCUCUGAUGUUAGCGGCGGACGGGUGAGUAACACGUGGAUAACCUACCUAUAAGACUGGGAUAACUUCGGGAAACCGGAGCUAAUACCGGAUAAUAUUUUGAACCGCAUGGUUCAAAAGUGAAAGACGGUCUUGCUGUCACUUAUAGAUAGAUCCGCGCUGCAUUAGCUAGUUGGUAAGGUAACGGCUUACCAAGGCAACGAUGCAUACCCGACCUGAGAGGGUGAUCGGCCACACUGGAACUGAGACACGGUCCAGACUCCUACGGGAGGCAGCAGUAGGGAAUCUUCCGCAAUGGGCGAAAGCCUGACGGAGCAACGCCGCGUGAGUGAUGAAGGUCUUCGGAUCGUAAAACUCUGUUAUUAGGGAAGAACAUAUGUGUAAGUAACUGUGCACAUCUUGACGGUACCUAAUCAGAAAGCCACGGCUAACUACGUG